UACGUAGGGUGCAAGCGUUAAUCGGAAUUACUGGGCGUAAAGCGUGCGCAGGCGGUGAUGUAAGACAGGUGUGAAAUCCCCGGGCUUAACCUGGGAACUGCAUUUGUGACUGCAUGGCUAGAGUUUGGCAGAGGGGGGUAGAAUUCCACGUGUAGCAGUGAAAUGCGUAGAUAUGCGGAGGAACACCGAUGGCGAAGGCAGCCCCCUGGGCUGACACUGACGCUGAGGCACGAAAGCGUGGGGAGCAAACAGG
This 253-nucleotide ribosomal RNA is filed under the name uncultured bacterium. Its description in RNAcentral is "partial 16S ribosomal RNA". It matches the Rfam family "Bacterial small subunit ribosomal RNA", at positions 524 to 776 of the family's 1533-position model. The record is from RNAcentral.